Molecule: small nuclear RNA, 19 nt
Filed under: Arabidopsis thaliana (thale cress)
Lineage: Eukaryota; Viridiplantae; Streptophyta; Magnoliopsida; Brassicales; Brassicaceae
Description: snRNA_09127
Source: RNAcentral
AUGGGAUAUCAGCCCGAUU